Non-coding RNA from Macaca mulatta (Rhesus monkey), 2391 nucleotides. Lineage: Eukaryota; Metazoa; Chordata; Mammalia; Primates; Cercopithecidae. The record is from RefSeq and is a predicted model, not a curated record.
CCCGUGCAGCGAUUCCAGCGCUCACCCUUGACCCGCGGCGGAGACGGGGCAGAACUUCCGGGAGGCGGGGCCACGGAGAGGAAAAAGGGAAAGAAAAAAGGAAGUCGCUUCAACCCAGCCCACAGGACUAUGAGACCCCGCCGGGCGGAAGUGACGUAAGAGGGCUCGAGAAGCUUGAGCAAGCCCCGCCUCUCUAACAACGCUGGGCAAGCGCAGGACCAUCUCUUGGCUACUACCUCCAAGAGUAUACCCGGGCCUCGCUGAUACCCGACGGCGAGCCCUUGACUUUUGUGACUUGUUGACCUUUGCUACUGCGAUCUGUUUUUUCUGCUGGGAUAAAGUUGCUCAUUCUGUUGCUUGUCAUUGGGGUUACUAUCACUCGUUCAGACGGCCGAUUGGCUGAUGGUCCCGUCAAUCUCCAGGGAAAUUACUAGCCUCAGACAACUCAGAAAAUUGUUCGUUGGUGCCCCUUCGUGCUGAAAUGAAGAGUUCUGGAGAGAAUCUGAGGGAUUUGAGGAAUUUCAGAUCUUGGGGAUUUUUCCCCCGCACAGGGAACGGUAUUCUGCCCUGUCUACACAUUAGAAUCGCUUUAGGGAGUUUUGGUCCCUCUAGGGUAGGGCCUGGACAAAAGCUUUUUUAAAAAAGCGUUCCCUUCAUUUCCUCCUCCCAAACCCCACAUUUCCACCCGCUAGAUUCUAAUGCGUAAACAGGAUUGACAACUACUGCUCUUGUGCUUUUUUGGGAACAAGAAAUGGUCCAGGAAAAAGAUAAACGCCAAUUAGUCUCUGAUCUCAGUACUAGUCUAUUUUAAGCUAAUUAAGCAUUGAUUUUUUUUUUUAAGUUUAUGACAAACUGCUAUUUUCCAUUCAGUUAAGCUAAAUGCGCUUUAAUGAUAGGACGGUAAUUAAUCUAACCUAUUAAUGAAAAGCUGUAUGCCUCGCAGAACUGUGAUAAACUACCUAAUGACGUCAGCUAAGGGUCCAGAAAUGGAAGAAUGAUUGCUAUAUCUUUUUUAAAAAAUAGAAUUUAGGCAUCUUGGGGAAAAAGAACCUAAUCUACACUGGAUUUCUGGUAGUGUGAAGACUUUUGUCCCUGUACCUGUUGGGGCUUACCUGUAAAUGAAGUAAGAUGGUCAACACCAGGAAAACAAGUAUUCCUGGUGCCUGGCAGUAGAACACCUUGACUAUGUUGGAAAGAAUUAACUGGCCCCGAGUGGACUUCACAUUUCAUUCCGUGAAGCGGGAGCCUGAGAGCAUAUUUUUUGUGUGAGGCUGAAACUGUUGGAGGCUUCCUGCUACCAUUCUUGAGAAUGGAGCGACCACACAGAGGUGAGCAGAACAAAGAGAAUCUCAGGGAAAUGGAGCCACAUCAACUGAGUUAGGUCACCCCUAACUUCAACCCACACUUAAGAGUGUUAGAGAAGAUUCUAUAAAGAAAGCAGACUUUUCUAGUACCUUUCAAUUCUUACCAUGCAGGUAGGUCUACUCUUCCAUAUUACUGUUACUGUGCAACUAGAAACCCACCUGACCUUGGAGGAGAAAGAACAGCAUCACUGAAAUGCUUACAUCAGGCAUUGGGGAUGGGAGUACAGCAAGUAAUUACAAAGGAUCAAUAAGAGAGAAUUGAUAUCAAUAUAACGGAUACAGCAUAUCAAUUUAAACAUGUAUUGACUCCAGCAACUACAUGUAUCAAGAUACGAAUUUCCGGUGCCCAAAGGCAUGUGGCCAAAUUCAGUUAAAAGGAGGUCUUACAGCAGUAGUAUACAACCAGGAAUCCACAAAUGUUCAGAAUCUUGCCUCAUCAGCACCCCUUUCCCGCCUCAGAAGAAAGAAUAAGCCUGAUUACAUUGAUGACUAAUGCAGUUACCUAGAGAGUUAUGAAUUCUCCAGAGACUGCCUCCAGCCUCUCAGCUCUUGUAAAGCCCUUCCAGGUGGGGCUGCCAUCCUCGUCAACCCUGCGAUACUUCUAGCACUCAGCCAACUCUCUUCUCACUGUCACAACUUCAGGAAACACUUUGAUCUUAAAUAUGCACAUGCUGAUAUAUAGUGAAUUCAAGCUUCAUCUUUAUUGCAGAAUGACGGUAGUAUCUCCUCCCAAAGGCAUUUAUAAAACAGGAGACACAUGAGUUAAUCUGGAACAAGUGGAAAGAAGUUCAGGGUUUCCUGACAUCCCUUCCCUGUUCUUCCUCCCAAGCAUAGUUCUGGUUGGUAACAUUUAUGUUGGAAAAAUGGAAUAAGUCACUAUGCUUCACUUAUUGAACUAAAACUUCAAAUUACAAUUUAUGCACUAGCCUAGAAGCUGGAUUCAUUUGCAACAUGAAUAAGGUUUUAAAAGUAACUGGGGCCGGGCGCAGUGGCUCAUGCCUAUAAUUCCAGGACUUCGGAAGGUCAA